Molecule: ribosomal RNA, 256 nt
Filed under: uncultured bacterium
Lineage: Bacteria
Description: partial 16S ribosomal RNA
Rfam family: Bacterial small subunit ribosomal RNA
Source: RNAcentral
UACGAAGGGGGCUAGCGUUGCUCGGAAUCACUGGGCGUAAAGGGCGCGUAGGCGGACUUUUAAGUCAGGGGUGAAAUCCUGAGGCUCAACCUCAGAACUGCCUUUGAUACUGAGGGUCUCGAGACCGGUAGAGGUAAGUGGAACUGCGAGUGUAGAGGUGAAAUUCGUAGAUAUUCGCAAGAACACCAGUGGCGAAGGCGGCUUACUGGACCGGUUUCUGGACGCUGAGGCGGCGAAAAGCGUGGGGAGCAACAGG